GCCAACGUAGCACAAUGGUAGUGCGUUGCUUUCCUACCUAAAAAGGAAAUAGGUCACGUGAGGCAAAGGUUGUGGGUUCGAUCCCCAUCGUUGGUU
Molecule: transfer RNA, 96 nt
Organism: Coprinopsis cinerea okayama7#130
Lineage: Eukaryota; Fungi; Basidiomycota; Agaricomycetes; Agaricales; Psathyrellaceae
Rfam family: tRNA
About the family: Transfer RNA (tRNA) molecules are approximately 80 nucleotides in length. Their secondary structure includes four short double-helical elements and three loops (D, anti-codon, and T loops).
Source: Rfam